RNAcentral lists this long non-coding RNA (1042 nucleotides) under Sinocyclocheilus anshuiensis. RNAcentral describes it as "lncRNA (ENSSANG00000032825.1)". The record is from RNAcentral. Lineage: Eukaryota; Metazoa; Chordata; Actinopteri; Cypriniformes; Cyprinidae.
UUUAAGACGUAAUAAAACAGACGAUGAACACUAUUAACAGCAAUUAUUAUAUGAUGCAAUCAAACUUAUAGCAAAAUGUGGUAGUUCUGUAUGUUGUUUCAGGGUUGGCAUCAUCUGAGGUCCUCUGAGGGGUUGGCAUCAACGUGCCAACGUUCUGGCAGGUAACGUGACCUGCCAGAACUAACGCUACGCUUGAUUUCUUUAGGGUGAUCUGAUGCAAGUGGCCUUUCUGAUGGGAGAACCAGAUGCAGCUCGUGAUCAGUGUGCCGUUUUCCAAUCCCAGUGUGGCGGAACCGGACACAAACCACCUCGAUCUCCUCGCAUACACACUGAAGAGGAACUUCUGCUGUCCUCAAAUGACCUGGAGGACUUAUUAGAGACAGCAGAGGACAGUGUCUAUUUUCAUGCAAAACUGACUGGUCUCCAUAGACGUGGGAUUAUACGUGGAGACGGUACUCUGCCUACUGGAUCCAAACGUCCUGACCUUGUGGGGCGAGGUGAUGUGUUUGAGGUGGAUGAGGAUACAGACCUGGUAGACCAAAACAUCUUAUCCAAAAAUGGUGGUAAACCUUCCAAAACAUUCCCAACUGACACAACAAGCAGCCGUGAUGGAAAACCAGAAUCUAAACGUCUAAAUGAAAACAUCACCACUGACAAGCACAAACUUGGCAAACCUUCACCAAAGAAACCAGUGGAUACCAUAAUUAUCAACCUGGAUGUUCAGAUACCCGAGAAACCUACCGGAAGUAUUGUACCUAGUAGCGAAAUUCAACUGGAAACCACCUCCAGUCCUGAGGAUCGAGAAUCCAACUUGUUAAAAGAGGAUUUGGGGGUCACCACACAGGCUCCUGUGAGAAAAACUUCUUGGGAGGGCAUCUCAAAAGGAAGUGGAAGAAAAACAUUCAAAACUUCAGAUAUCCCUGUAGGACCUGGCUGGGGAUCUGAGGAGCACCCAGGAACCGUUAUAUUUACAGAAAGGCAUGGAGAUCUUGUGCGUGGCUCUGAUGGGAAUAUGUAUCGCAUUCAAAGAGGACCCAUGGGG